CCUACGGGUAGCAGCAGUGAGGAAUAUUGGUCAAUGUACGAGAGUCUGAACCAGCCAAGUAGCGUGAAGGAUGACUGCCCUAUGGGUUGUAAACUUCUUUUAUAUGGGAAUAAAACGUUCCACGUGUGGGAUUUUGUAUGUACCAUAUGAAUAAGGAUCGGCUAACUCCGUGCCAGCAGCCGCGGUAAUACGGAUGAUGCGAGCGUUAUAAGGAUUUAUUGGGUUUAAAGGGAGCGUAGGUGGAUUGUUAAGUCAGUUGUGAAAGUUUGCGGCUCAACCGUAAAAUUGCAGUUGAAACUGGCAGUCUUGAGUACAGUAGAGGUGGGCGGAAUUCGUGGUGUAGCGGUGAAAUGCUUAGAGAUCACGAAGAACUCCGAUUGCGAAGGCAGUUCACUGGACUGCAACUGACACUGAGGCUCGAAAGUGUGGGUAUCAAACAGGAUUAGAUACCCGUGUAGUC
Molecule: ribosomal RNA, 460 nt
Filed under: uncultured bacterium
Lineage: Bacteria
Description: partial 16S ribosomal RNA
Rfam family: Bacterial small subunit ribosomal RNA
Source: RNAcentral